Molecule: long non-coding RNA, 879 nt
Organism: Limanda limanda (common dab)
Lineage: Eukaryota; Metazoa; Chordata; Actinopteri; Pleuronectiformes; Pleuronectidae
Exons: 3
Source: RefSeq, a predicted model, not a curated record
ACAGACAGCGAGGGGCAGUCCAUGGUCAGGACGUCGUGCGGAACAGAAGGUUUCAAGAACAUCAAGAAGUCGACACCCAUCGCCGCUCAGACUGCGGGCAUUUCUGCUGCUUCGAAAGCCACACCGAAGGGAGUAACGUUUGUUCGAGUUGUGGUCCAAGGUCUUGGUCCUGACGUCUGUCUGCGAUCAAAGGCUUGACGAUGGGAGGCCUGGACGUGGUAUCGAUCACCGACCACACCCCCGUGCCACACAACGGAUGCCGCCCGCGCAAAGCCAGAAGGACGUGAUCCUCUUGUACCAGAGCGAGCAGCAGGAUGGAGAUGUUGUGUUGAAAGAUGCUAAUAAAGAGUUAAAUUGUGUAACUGCCUCUGAGCUGUUCAUAAGUUGUUAGUCGGUGGAAAUAAUGGCAGAGCGUGUUGUUAAUGAGCUGAGAACAGGUGUGUCUGUCCUCUGCUCACUGCAGACAGCGAUAUGGACAUUAGAGCACUGAUGUUUACACACACACUCUUGUACUACUAUUUUAGUGAGGACACUCAUCUGCAUAAUGAAUUCCCAGGCCCCAAAUAUGUUAAGCACUUGGCUUUUAAGCACUUUACUCACCCUAUUGUCAACUUAUAAUUAUAUAUGGAUAUGCCAGAUGUUUUUAAUUAGUUUGAGAUAUACACUACUGUUCAAAAGUUUGGGGUCAUUUAGAAUUUUUCUUAUUUUCAAAGAAAAGCACUGUUUUUUUCAAUGAAGAUAACAUUAAAUUAAUCAGAAAUAAAAUCUAUACAUUGUUAAUGUGGUAAAUCAUUAUUCUAGGUGGAAACGUCUGGUUUUUAAACAUGUGAACCACCAGCAUGGUGAAUACUGUUGUCGCUUUGUGACCAUUGAAACUGG